UUGUUGUUAGUGUGUUUGGUGAUGACUCUGCGCUCACACGGACCUCGACCCCCGCGCUCGGUGGGGGGGGAGCUAAGGAAAACCCCUCGCAACCAAAAACAGGAGGUGGUCUUUGUGUUGCUCGUGGAAUAUACACCACUUCUCGAGGGAUAUAUGGGGGGAGUGAACUGUGGUAUCCACCCUUAACGCCGGGCGCUCGGGCUCUGGUCUGCCGAUUAGCCGGGAAACUUCACCCCCGGUCGGGGUGUUGUGUCGUCGUGUUUUGCUGCUGUUGGGGGCGGGUGGCGGCCGUCCUCGUCCUUUGUUUCCUUCUUUUUUUUUUGCUGCCUGGGCGGGGUGCGGGUCGUCCUGUAAGGUCGUGUCCGGUCCUGUCUGUUUUUUUUUUUUUUUGUUUGUUUUUUUUCCCCCCUCCCCACUGCAGCUGACGAGCAAGACCGCGUGGGGAAGAAGGUUUGUGGAUUGUAAACCCCUUUUAUCAGGGAAGAAGAACUGACGGUACCUGAUGAAUCAGCCUCGGCUAACUCCGUGCCAGCAGCCGCGGUAAUACGGAGGAGGCAAGCGUUAUCCGGAAUUAUUGGGCGUAAAGCGUCCGUAGGUGGCUGUACGUGUCAGUUGUUAAAGAAUGGGGCUUAACUCCAUAUAGGCGAUUGAAACUGUAUAGCUAGAGAGUGGUAGGGGCAAGGGGAAUUCCCAGUGUAGCGGUGAAAUGCGUAGAUAUUGGGAAGAACACCGGUGGCGAAAGCGCCUUGCUGGGCCAUUACUGACACUGAGGGACGAAAGCUAGGGGAGCGAAAGGGAUUAGAUACCCCUGUAGUCCUAGCCGUAAACGAUGGAUACUAGGUGUUGCCCGUAUCGACCCGGGCAGUGCCGUAGCUAACGCGUUAAGUAUCCCGCCUGGGGAGUACGCUCGCAAGAGUGAAACUCAAAGGAAUUGACGGGGGCCCGCACAAGCCGGUCGGAGUAUUGUGGUAUUAAUUCGAUCUGCAACGUUGAGGAACCUUAGCCAAGAGCUUGACAUGUGCAGAAUCUUCGGGAGACUGAUGGAGUGCCUUCGGGAACUGCAACACAGUGUGGUGCAUGGCAUGUCGUCAGCUCGUGUCGUGAGAUGUUGGGUUAAGUCCCGCAACGAGCGCUAACCCACGUUCUUAGUUGCCAUCAUUAAGUUGGGCACUUUAGGUAGACUGCCGGUGACAAACCGGAGGAAGGUGUGGAUGACGUCAAGUCAGCAUGCCCCUUACGUCUUGGGCUACACACGUAGUACAAUGCUUCGGACAAAGGGUUGCCAGACCGCGAGGUUGAUCUAAUCCCAUAAACCGAGAAGGUCAGUUCAGAUUGCAGGCUGCAACUCGCCUGCAUGAAGGAGGAAUCGCUAGUAAUCGCAGGGUCAGCAUACUGCGGUGAAUACGUUCCCGGGCCUUGUACACACCGCCCGUCACACCAUGGGAGUUGGCCUCGCCCGAAUUCUUUACUCCAACCGUUCGCGGAGGAGGAUGCCGAAGGCAGGUCUUAUGACUUGCGGGUGAAGUCGUAACAAGGUAGCCGUACCGGAAGGUGUGGGUGCAUCCCCUCCUUUUAGGGAGACCUACCCACUCCUUCACUGAAAGCGAAAGCGAGUAGGUUAAGAGUUGGUCAUCCCAAGGUCGUUCGAGGAAUGAUGAUAUCGAGGCUUUCAAAAUAACUUCCAGGUUCUCCUAAUGAAUUAGGAUAACGAGCGAGGACAGAGAGUCCAGCAUUCUGUUUUGGUUUAGACAGAAGGAUAUGCUGAACUAAUUGUUCAGCGAGAGGACCUUGACAACUGCAUAGUGAGAGAAGGAAAGGUAAAAACCGAGUGUUGUAGUAAGGCACUUGGCUGGGUAUCAAUGCAGAUAGACCU
This 1873-nucleotide unclassified non-coding RNA is filed under the name Leptolyngbya sp. C32. RNAcentral describes it as "bacterial SSU rRNA". The stretch from base 327 to 1573 matches the Rfam family "Bacterial small subunit ribosomal RNA". The record is from RNAcentral. Lineage: Bacteria; Bacillati; Cyanobacteriota; Cyanophyceae; Leptolyngbyales; Leptolyngbyaceae.